UCUGAGGUAUGGCUGGGGUACAGCCUCGAAGCCAGAGAGCAGGAAGGAGCGAGGGAGGACAGGACAUGGAGACAGAAGGAAAAACAAGAAAGUGAAGGAGAUGUAGGAAGUGACACACAGGAGCCUGGGACGGGUGCCCUGGCUUCUGUCCUCAGAGCCAGCUGUUCAGGGGCAGAGAAGGUGACAGCUGUCCCGUGGAGAGAGAAGCCGAGAUCCACAGUGAAUCCUGAGGCUGAGGGUGGGAGGUCACUGGCUUCCGGCCAAGGAGCUCCUGGCAGGCAUCUCCUCAGGGUGGACAGAGCUGCACUCACCACCAAGGAUGCUGUCAUGGAGUUGGCGAGCAACGGGUCUAGCUCCACUGAUGGCUCCCCUACUGAGGAAAUGAGUUGAUCUAAAGAAGAGAGUGACCUGGGAUGCACUUGGGGAAACUGUGUGAUUGCAUUUGAAGGAGAGCUGUGAGUUCUGAGGACACCCUCCAGGAAGAGUUGGUGCUAUCGUCAUGCUGAUCAGCAUUAAAUGCUGGCUCGCUCUUUCUCACCAGACCUCAAUGCACUCCGCCCCACAGCCUUAACUGUGGAGGAGUCUAAAACUGUUCAACGCUGCAUCUGUCAGGCUCUGCUCAACACUGACUUCAUCCACCAACCCCACCUGGAUCUCCAUUCUUUUGGAAUUGCCCCCAGAGUCUGCUCAGCAUUCUUGAAAAUGUUCUUCAAAGGUUGCUAGUUCUCAUCGUUGGAGGGUUGAUCUGAUAUUUAGAAGCAUUUUAAAGCCAUUUGAGGCCAAUCCCAGGGAAUUAGGUGUAAACUAUUAAGUACAAAAAGAAAAUGAAUUCCAGUUUCUCUUUUAAAACUGUAUUCUCG
Canis lupus familiaris (dog) is the source of this 860-nucleotide long non-coding RNA. RefSeq lists it as uncharacterized. The record is from RefSeq and is a predicted model, not a curated record. The transcript is spliced from 4 exons. Lineage: Eukaryota; Metazoa; Chordata; Mammalia; Carnivora; Canidae.